GGCCGCGUACCUUAGUGGUAAAGGGCAACACUUGUAAUGUCGAUAUCGUGGGUUCGAAUCCCACCGCGGCCG
This 72-nucleotide transfer RNA is filed under the name Bacteroidaceae bacterium. RNAcentral describes it as "tRNA-Thr". It matches the Rfam family "tRNA". Rfam says of the family: Transfer RNA (tRNA) molecules are approximately 80 nucleotides in length. Their secondary structure includes four short double-helical elements and three loops (D, anti-codon, and T loops). The record is from RNAcentral. Lineage: Bacteria; Pseudomonadati; Bacteroidota; Bacteroidia; Bacteroidales; Bacteroidaceae.